GGUGAUGAAGAAGAUUAAGAAUGAUUCCAUAACGGUCAGUACAGUAUUUCACAUUCACUGACCUUUUGUGUAAUUUGAUAUGCUCUUCAGGAAGUCAGCCACGCUAAACCAUCAUUCAAGAAUGAGUGUGAAAUCAAGACAUUUCAGCAAUGCAAUUCUAAGGAAGUUUACCAUCUGGAGACCCAUUGAAAAUCCACAGAGGUGUGGGACACAAGAAACAAUCGUGAGCAGGCAAGUGGGAAAUUUAGUUAAUUUACUUUUCAAAAGCCUACAUUAUAUAAAAAGUAAAAUAAAAUCUCUACAUAAUAAAAAAAAAAACUUAAAAAUGGAGAGAAGUCCAACAAGGGUCUCACUCUGU
Molecule: long non-coding RNA, 358 nt
Filed under: Pan troglodytes (chimpanzee)
Lineage: Eukaryota; Metazoa; Chordata; Mammalia; Primates; Hominidae
Description: lincRNA
Source: RNAcentral